This 453-nucleotide ribosomal RNA is filed under the name uncultured bacterium. RNAcentral's name for it is "bacterial SSU rRNA". It matches the Rfam family "Bacterial small subunit ribosomal RNA", at positions 340 to 786 of the family's 1533-position model. The record is from RNAcentral.
UACGGGAGGCAGCAGUGGGGAAUAUUGCACAAUGGGCGCAAGCCUGAUGCAGCCAUGCCGCGUGUAUGAAGAAGGCCUUCGGGUUGUAAAGUACUUUCAGUCGUGAGGAAGGUGUUAAGGUUAAUAACCUUAGCAAUUGACGUUAGCGACAGAAGAAGCAUCGGCUAACUCCGUGCCAGCAGCCGCGGUAAUACGGAGGGUGCGAGCGUUAAUCGGAAUUACUGGGCGUAAAGGGCACGCAGGCGGUUAAUUAAGUUGGAUGUGAAAUCCCCGGGCUUAACCUGGGAAUGGCAUUCAAGACUGGUUAGCUAGAGUCUUGUAGAGGGGGUAGAAUUCCAUGUGUAGCGGUGAAAUGCGUAGAGAUGUGGAGGAAUACCGGUGGCGAAGGCGGCCCCUGGGACAAAGACUGACGCUCAUGUGCGAAAGCGUGGGGAGCAAACAGGAUUAGAUACC